RNAcentral lists this unclassified non-coding RNA (298 nucleotides) under plant metagenome. Its description in RNAcentral is "partial contains 5.8S ribosomal RNA, internal transcribed spacer 2, and large subunit ribosomal RNA". The stretch from base 1 to 105 matches the Rfam family "5.8S ribosomal RNA", at positions 50 to 154 of the family's 154-position model. The record is from RNAcentral.
GAAAUGCGAUAAGUAAUGUGAAUUGCAGAAUUCAGUGAAUCAUCGAAUCUUUGAACGCACAUUGCGCCCCCUGGUAUUCCGGGGGGCAUGCCUGUUCGAGCGUCAUUUCACCACUCAAGCCUCGCUUGGUAUUGGGCAACGUGGUCCGCCGCGUGCCUCAAAUCGACCGGCUGGGUCUUCUGUCCCCUAAGCGUUGUGGAAACUAUUCGCUAAAGGGUGUUCGGGAGGCUACGCCGUAAAACAACCCCAUUUCUAAGGUUGACCUCGGAUCAGGUAGGGAUACCCGCUGAACUUAAGC